RNAcentral lists this ribosomal RNA (152 nucleotides) under uncultured Glomus. Its description in RNAcentral is "5.8S ribosomal RNA". It matches the Rfam family "5.8S ribosomal RNA". From Rfam's summary of the family: 5.8S ribosomal RNA (5.8S rRNA) is a component of the large subunit of the eukaryotic ribosome. Lineage: Eukaryota; Fungi; Glomeromycota; Glomeromycetes; Glomerales; Glomeraceae. The record is from RNAcentral.
AUCACUUUCAACAACGGAUCUCUUGGCUCUCGCAUCGAUGAAGAACGUAGCCCAGUGCGAUAAGUAAUGUGAAUUGCAGAAUUCCGUGAAUCAUCGAAUCUUUGAACGCAAAUUGCACUCUCUUCGGAGAGUAUGCCUGUUUGAGGGUCAGU